UUCACGCAUCUGGAGAGGUCAAUUCCACAGCCAUUCAUCACACAUCCCCAUGACACCGGGCAGCCGGGCGCCGGUGUACUGCCAGAAGGUCAUGGCCCAGGGAGGCCAGGCCUCAGUCUUGUCUGCUCUGGACUGGGGGUGGGAUCCCAUUCUCAAUUGGUGUGGUCCUCAGGCCCACAGUGCUGCCCUUGGCCUGGUCUUCACUUCUGAGCAAUAGUCAUCUGCUGACGUUUCCACUGCCGACCAGAGUGAGUGACGGACAUCUGGCAUGGCUUCAACUCUCAGUCCCCAUAAUCAAGGCUAUGACAAGGAUCUUUAUGCACUUUCCCUUAGAGACCAGUGUGAGAAUUUCUCUGCAGGCAUUCCCAGAAAUGUGAUUCCUGGGUCCGAGAUAAGUGCAUUCGACCAAGUAUUGCUGGAUUGCCCUAAACAAUGGGGCUGCCCCCGUCUACACUCUUGCUGCCAUCACACGAUGGUCCUGUAUUCCCUACAACCCUGCCAUGACCUGUCAUCACCCAGCUGUCUAAUUUUUGUCAAGUUGGAUGGGUAUAGUGUCAUAAUUCACCAUAGUUUUUAUUUUAUAUCUCUGAUUAAACAAGUCCCAGCAUUUCUUCAUUUGCUCACCAUUUUGGGUUUCCUCUCGUAUGAACUGACUAUUCAUACUUUUUGAUCUAUUUAUCGAUUAGGUUUUUUAAAAAUUAAUUUGAAAAAAUCCCUUAGGCAUUGUAGAUAUUUGUACCAUGUCAGGUUUAGAUAUUUAAAAUGUAUUUUCCUGAUUUGUCAUUUGCCUUUUGUGUCCAUGAUUUUUUUUAUUAAGUGGAAAUCCUUAAUUUUGAUAUAGUCAAGGAAGUGUAACUUUGGAUAGUGUCUUCCUGGGAAGAAGAGGUGGAAGUUUGGGAGUGAGUUUUCAUGUGAAGGGCCAUCUUAUCUAAGGAAAGGUUAAAAAUAAUUGAGAUUUUUUUGGGGAGGGGGUUCAGGGAAGGAAAGAUAAGAUAUAAAUGGUAAGAUAGCUAUUUUUUUCUAAAGGACUGUAAGUCAAAGAACUUUUUUACUUAGUCCAUCCUCAGGUAGAAAGGAUUGCCCUGUGAGAUGAGCUGUUUGUUCUCUGAGAUGGCCAAGCACAGGGUGGGUGAAUGCCAGAAUGCCCUUGACCAAGGGUAAGAGUCAAUGAGCCCUGACAUUUCUGGCAGUUCUGAGAGUUUGUGAAUGGGGUGGAAUGAAGAGGGAGGGAAUUUGCAUGAAGAUAGUUCUUUCCUUUAAACAAGCAAUUCAUCAUUCCUGUGUUAAUGCUCACCUGGCUAAGCUAGUCUUCCCAGCAUCUGUCAACAGCAGUAACAUUUCAUGCUGUCCCUCAUCCCCACCCCUAACUUACACAGGCAGAACACAUUAACCUUGUGGACAUGGUAUUGGCAAGUCUUUUCUGUGACAAUAUUUUUUUGAAACUCACAAUUUAAUUGAGACUUCCAAAUGGCUCUCCUAAUUGUAGGUGUGAGAAGGAAGGAGUGAAGGUAAGGUGUUGCCUAUACCCUAGUGCAGUUAUAAGAUGGGCCAAAAGGCAGUCUUUGUCUUUUAUUCAUUCAUUCAUUCGUUUCCUUAUACAUUGGCAAGUGCCUCCUCUAUGUCAGGCCCUGGACCCAGCCCCAGAGACACAAGAGUGAGCAAAACAGCCACUGUCCUACCCUCACAGAGCUUAGAGCCUAGAGGGACAGACAUCUACUUAACACCAAAUGUACAAAUCUGUGUUCAUAUUUCUACCUGUCUUCUCCCUUUAAAAUUAGUGAAAUAAAAAAAAAAAAAAGAAAUGCAAAUCAGAAUAGAAUAAAAAUACCAUUUUCAUCUGUUGUAGUGGCAAACAUCCAGAAAUUUAUUGGUGAGGCUGUGGGACAGUAGGCCUUCUCAUACAGUGCUGGUAGGAAUGCAGACUAAAGCAGCUCCUAGGAGGGGAACUUGCUCUAUCCACUGGAAAAGUCUGGAAACAGUAGUCAACCUGGUAGCAAUGAGUUUCACUAGUACCAGAUUGUAGUCUCUAAGUAUUAUUUCCCGUUAAGAAGACCCAGAGGCCCUUGGAGAAAUGGCAGCUUGUGGUCUAGAGCAAGAUGAACAUGGAACAUCUUAUUGCACCAAAAAGCAAGAAAGCCAUCAAACAAUUGGAUAUUAUUCCAAAAGACUCAGGAAUCAUCUGGGAGGGACUACAUCUGGCCAAAGAUGAGGCAAUUUGAUUGUCAAAAAGAUUAAUGACUUCAGCGGUUUGAGAUACAUCAGUUAUCUUUACAUUUAUAGUUUAUGAUAAUACUAAAUUUCUAAAAUCUCACUGGUCAGCUUUGGAGGGUACCAGGAAACCAUUCAGUAUUUUAAAGGGGCUCCUGGGUGGUUCAGUUGGUUAAGCAUCUGACUCUUGGUGUCAGCUCAGGUCGUGAUCUCAUGGA
Long non-coding RNA from Lutra lutra (Eurasian river otter), 2426 nucleotides. RefSeq lists it as uncharacterized. Lineage: Eukaryota; Metazoa; Chordata; Mammalia; Carnivora; Mustelidae. The transcript is spliced from 3 exons. The record is from RefSeq and is a predicted model, not a curated record.